This 301-nucleotide ribosomal RNA is filed under the name uncultured bacterium. RNAcentral describes it as "partial 16S ribosomal RNA". It matches the Rfam family "Bacterial small subunit ribosomal RNA", at positions 509 to 807 of the family's 1533-position model. The record is from RNAcentral.
CAGUCGCCGCGGUAAUACGGAGGGGGCUAGCGUUGCUCGGAAUUACUUGGCGUAAAUGGCGCGUAGGCGGACAGUUCAGUCGGGGGUGAAAGCCCGGGGCUCAACCUCGGAAUUGCCUUCGAUACUGGCUGUCUUGAGUAUGAGAGAGGUGUGUGGAACUCCGAGUGUAGAGGUGAAAUUCGUAGAUAUUCGGAAGAACACCAGUGGCGAAGGCGACACACUGGCUCAUUACUGACGCUGAGGCGCGAAAGCGUGGGGAGCAAACAGGAUUAGAUACCCCAGUAGUCCCUGUCUCUUAUAC